RNAcentral lists this ribosomal RNA (253 nucleotides) under uncultured bacterium. Its description in RNAcentral is "partial 16S ribosomal RNA". It matches the Rfam family "Bacterial small subunit ribosomal RNA", at positions 524 to 776 of the family's 1533-position model. The record is from RNAcentral.
UACGAAGGGGGCUAGCGUUGCUCGGAUUGACUGGGCGUAAAGGGCGCGUAGGCGGUUCGUACAGUCAGACGUGAAAUUCCUGGGCUCAACCUGGGGGCUGCGUUUGAUACGUGCGGACUUGAGUGCGGAAGAGGGUCGCGGAAUUCCCGGUGUAGAGGUGAAAUUCGUAGAUAUCGGGAGGAACACCAGUGGCGAAGGCGGCGACCUGGGCCAAUACUGACGCUGAGGUGCGAAAGCGUGGGGAGCAAACAGG